UUAGAAAAUGCAUUUACGAUGGUCAGGA
This 28-nucleotide small RNA is filed under the name Bombyx mori (domestic silkworm). RNAcentral's name for it is "ovarian small RNA-36675". Lineage: Eukaryota; Metazoa; Arthropoda; Insecta; Lepidoptera; Bombycidae. The record is from RNAcentral.